GGGUGAGUAACACGUGAGUAACCUGCCCCCGAGAGCGGGAUAGCCCUGGGAAACUGGGAUUAAUACCGCAUAGUAUCGAAAGAUUAAAGCAGCAAUGCGCUUGGGGAUGGGCUCGCGGCCUAUUAGUUAGUUGGUGAGGUAACGGCUCACCAAGGCGAUGACGGGUAGCCGGUCUGAGAGGAUGUCCGGCCACACUGGAACUGAGACACGGUCCAGACACCUACGGGUGGCAGCAGUCGAGAAUCAUUCACAAUGGGGGAAACCCUGAUGGUGCGACGCCGCGUGGGGGAAUGAAGGUCUUCGGAUUGUAAACCCCUGUCAUGUGGGAGCAAAUUAAAAAGAUAGUACCACAAGAGGAAGAGACGGCUAACUCUGUGCCAGCAGCCGCGGUAAUACAGAGGUCUCAAGCGUUGUUCGGAAUCACUGGGCGUAAAGCGUGCGUAGGCUGUUUCGUAAGUCGUGUGUGAAAGGCGCGGGCUCAACCCGCGGACGGCACAUGAUACUGCGAGACUAGAGUAAUGGAGGGGGAACCGGAAUUCUCGGUGUAGCAGUGAAAUGCGUAGAUAUCGAGAGGAACACUCGUGGCGAAGGC
This 592-nucleotide ribosomal RNA is filed under the name uncultured bacterium. RNAcentral's name for it is "bacterial SSU rRNA". It matches the Rfam family "Bacterial small subunit ribosomal RNA", at positions 104 to 722 of the family's 1533-position model. The record is from RNAcentral.